Molecule: non-coding RNA, 2858 nt
Filed under: Pan troglodytes (chimpanzee)
Lineage: Eukaryota; Metazoa; Chordata; Mammalia; Primates; Hominidae
Source: RNAcentral
AGGAAAACUGAAUCAAAGUAAAAAUCUGUAAGGCUUUGUAGUUUAUGGGGAAAAUAAUCACUAGAUACAUAAAAUAUUUACUUUUUUUUAGCCUUUUUUUCCCCCCACAGAACAUAUAGAGGACAGGGCUUUGCUCUGCCUUCUCACUUUCUCCCCACUCACCCCCAACCUCCAGAGUGUGUUUUCCAAGUAAAAUUUUAGGCCAUAGAGAAAUUCGCAAUUGAUAGGCCAAGGUGACUGAUAAAACUCUAGAGGUCAGGAUUGGUAAUAGUGGAGCGAGGACCAGAUGGAAUUUUUGUUUAAUACUGUAUCUGAAAUUGAGGAUGGGAUAGAUAGGAAAUGACCUAUCAUUUCAUGAGGAGAUGACUUUUCUGUGAUAAUGGGACAGAGAUGAGCUUAGAUGAAUGAAUAUAUAUUUUAGCACUUACCUUUUUCCAUAAAACACAAAUAGACUUGGUGCAAAAUUACCAGUCUCACUCCAUGGUAUUGCUGAUGAGAUCGGUAAAUAAUAGAGAGAGACAUACUUCUUUAGGAGCUAGCUGACUUUAACAUAUGCUGGAGUACAAUUGACUUACAACUAUUUGGCGUUAGAAAUGAUUUUUCUAGGGCUUGGUGGGGGAAAAAUACUCGUGAAAUACCUGCCUUGACUUAAACUUCAACAUAUUUUAAAGUCAUUUUAUUAUCCCACAACUCAGAAUGUCUUCAAUUAAAGGUAAGAAAAUAAGGUGAUGGGCUACAGUGGCUUAAUCAGGUGUUCAGUUAAUGAAGUAGAAGAAGGAUACAGAUUCUAAUAAUUCACAGUUGUAGAGGUUCUAGACUGUUCUUAGUAUGAAGUCCUGGCAGUGUAUGUGGCAGAGUGAAUAAUGUUUCACGACCUGGUGAGUCAUGUGAGGACUGUGAGUAACUUUUAUCUUCUGUGUGUCCCACAUAGCGUAUAACAGUACUAUGCUAGUGAUUUGCUUGACAGUUAUUGAAUGAAUGCUAAGUUUCAAAUAUUUAUUUGAUAGUCACUUGAUUACCAAGUAAUCAAAUAAUUACUUAUAGUGUUUUAGGGAGUUUUCAGAAGAUAUUUGUGAUUAAAUAAAUGAUUAUAUAUGUAUAUUAGCAUACUGUAUGCAUUUGUCAGUUGGGAAAGAGGGGAAUAUGGAGAAGUGGGGAACUGCAUUCAGUUUUUAUUUUAUAGGCAACUAAUAUGGUCCUUUGGUUUUAUUUUAAAAUGAAACUGAGCCUUGAGCAUUUUGAGCUUUCAUGUCAAAUGCCUUGAAUGGAAGAGUAGGAAUUUCAUGUAAGUAGCUUACAUCUGCCCUGUGUGUUGGAGAAUGUGAUUAGAUAUACUUGCUUUUCUGCCCAAGGCACUAUUUUUGUAUUUAUAUUGCUUUUUGCAGGUUUACUUCUGUUAACAGGGGUCUGUGAGAAAUAAGGCUUAAAAUAUCAAUACUUCUCAUUUUUCCACAGCCUUCCAAGGCUUCCAUCUUUGUGCCAGUGUGUAGCUCUGGGUGCCAUCUAACCCCAAAAGCAGCAGUUGGGUUUAGAUGAGCUGUGUGACAUUUGGCCUACACUUAGGUCUACUCACCACCCUGGUCAGGGAACCUGGAACAAUCCUAAAACUCACCUACUCUAAUGCAGGCCAUAUUUUUUAAUUAAAAUUGAAAUUGUCACUGAGUAUUGGAAUAAGAAGGGACUUUGGGGUGGAGUGGGUGAGCAGGGCAUUGUCUUACAGAGGAGGUGUGGGGACCGGUAAGUUUUAACUUUCAUCCUUUCAAUCUCUCAGUUUCAGCAAAGAUCUUAUAAAGAAUUUUGUUGCUACCAUUAUUUCUUAAAUUCAUGAAAGAAAUGUAAGAAAUUGAGGUGUGUAAUUUUCUUGCCCGUAUUCUCUAUAUUAAAAAAAAAAUAAGAAUAUGGUUCUAUGAAUUUCUUGUGCUAUUUUUGCUUUCCUUGAAUUAUUAAAAUAUGUUGCAUAGAACUAAUAUUGUUUUCUUUUUUAUUUUUAUACAGGAAGGAGAGAAAUAUUGUUCAUGUAAUGUGUUACCUUUUUUGUCUGUGUGAUCUACAAGAGCAUGGCUGAAAUGUUACCAAUUUUAACUAGUGUUUUGACUGAAGAUUAUUAUGAAAAGUUUUACUUUUGUUAGAUUCCUAAUUAAAAAUGCCUAUACUCUUUUAUAGGAGUUUCAACUUUUGCAAUUUGGUAAUAACAGAUUUAGGUAAGUAAAAAAUGGGAAUCUCAUACAGUUCUGAAGAUCUAAGUUUGGUUGAGAAUUUAAUGUUUCAUCACCAGUAAAUUCAAUUAAAGACUUUUGAUUCAAUUAAAGACUCAGUUCUGCCUACACCUGCAAGAACUGAGUUGAUCUGUACAUCAACAUUUCUGAUGUUUCUUUGGUAGUUGCUGCUGGAGUCAGAAGUUAGGAACAAAUCUAAUGGCCUUUGUAAUGUCCUCUGUCAUUUCACGGAGGAAUGACUUAGAGGAACAAAGCUUUCCUGUGAUUUCUUUCUUCAACAGAUGGCUAAUGGCACAGCAUUGCAGUUAGAAUCUUGUUUAAGAUACUAGGAGCACGUCCUGGACUAAAAAUUUCUACAUAAGCUUUAGCAACAACCUUAUAGCUUCCUUUGACUUUUUUGUAGAGCUUACAGAAUGUAUGGCUGCCUAAGUAAUAGUCUCUGAAUUAAUGGGUAAAAAAUAUAUUAUGAGUUUUUUAUCCUCACGUAUGGUGCUAGGCUAUACUGGAUUUGGGCUAACAAAAGCUUGUUAACUUUUUUUUGUCUCAUUGACAGAAGUAUUUUAUAUCUCAUAUUUUACAUUACAUAGGUGUGUGUGUGUGUAUGAAAUAAAAGUUUGAAAAUAAAGUGAUAUACUCUUUUUU